AUCGAACGCUGGCGGCAGGCCUAACACAUGCAAGUCGAGCGGUUGAGGUAGCUUGCUACCGAUGCAGCGGCGGACGGGUGAGUAAUACAUGGGAAUCUGCCUGGUAGUGGGGGACAACGUUUCGAAAGGAACGCUAAUACCGCAUACGCCCUACGGGGAAAGGGGGGAUCGCAAGACCUCUCGCUAUCAGAUGAGCCCAU
Molecule: ribosomal RNA, 200 nt
Filed under: uncultured bacterium
Lineage: Bacteria
Description: partial 16S ribosomal RNA
Rfam family: Bacterial small subunit ribosomal RNA
Source: RNAcentral